This 2111-nucleotide long non-coding RNA is filed under the name Homo sapiens (human). RNAcentral describes it as "HSALNT0363784". Lineage: Eukaryota; Metazoa; Chordata; Mammalia; Primates; Hominidae. The record is from RNAcentral.
CUCUGUCUCAAACAAACAAACACCAGACAGGGAGACAGAGAGAGCAGGAGGGGAGUGGGAGCUCUGGAAGGCAUCUGAGAGCCAGGCAGGGACACGCCUCUGUGGACACUGGGAGGUUCUGGGACCUUAGCUCCAGACAGGCCGGUUACUUUGUAACCCCCCACUGUGUCCUGCAGCUGAUCCUUCAGGAGAGAAGGGCUAGAGACUGGUGUUCAGGGUCAGUGAGCACAUAAACAGAUGUCCUGGGAGUCAUUUGGGAGAGAAAAAGAGGACAUCCCAGGUUUUUGUGCCCACAGGAAAGACAAUAUCACUCUCACCACAUGAUUGAAAGAGCCAAGUAUGAGAAGAUAAAUGAGGAGACGCUUGGAGAAGUACAGGGGCACCACCAACACUUAAGCCUCCAUCUUCAGGCAAGAAAGUCUGUGAUAUGAAUGAAGGGAUGAGAAAACCAAUGCUCCGAUGAGUGCAGUGACUUCCCAUGCCUGUGGAGAGUCUAUGCCUUUGAUUGGAUCCCCAGAGGUGGUUUUCACUUGCCCCCCAUUGCCUAUACCAUGUUGCCUUCCUGGAGUUGGUGGCCUUUGAGCUGGGCCUGGAAGAUUGGGUAGGACUUUAUGAAGUGGGGAUGGAGAGACAAGCUGUGCGAUGGGGAUGAAGAAGAUAACCCAGGUCAGAGGGAACAGCAUAAGCAAAGGUAUGUGAAGGGGAAAGAAUUCAACACCUCCAGGCAAUGGUGAGGAUGUCGCUGAGUUCUCUUUCACUUAUCUGCAUGUCAGUCAUGACCCCUGGAUGCCAGCUCCUGAUGGGUCAUCUGCCUACCCUAGAACUUCCCAGCAUCUAGCAUCCCAGACCUUCCCAGAGUCUACAAGAAAAGAAACCUAGGCAUCAGGAUGUCAGUUCUGGUCUGAGUCCUGUCCUCUGCUGACUUUACACCAGCACAAUCUAGCAGGGAGACUUAAUGUCUUCUCCUCCCAGCUUCCUGGUACAGUGUAAGAAAGUAAGCUUGCAGAUGCAAAUGCUUGUGGCUCUUCAUUGACCAGAGGCUAUAUUAGGGGAGAGGACUUCCCUGGGACCCCCACAGGGCCUGGAAAACCCCUCUGGCCCUGACUUGCUCCACCCCUUGGCUCUUGACCCAUUUCUCUCUUGGGUAACUCCUGAGUCUCCUCACCAUGUCCAGUUUGGAAGACUUUAGGCACAAGGACCUCGUCUUUUCCUUCAGAUCUUGGCUCAACCAAGAGGCGGACUCACCGUGAUGUGAAUGCAGCUUGAGCAUCCAGGACUCUCCCCAGAUCCAGGGAGGGCCUCAGCGAUGUGUUCACGUUGUCAUAUUUUUAUAAAAUUUGCAAAGGUAAGAUACUUUAACCACAAUCAAAAUUACUAUUUUCUUCCCACUCCAACUUCCCUUGUGUUUCAAUUUUCCUUUAUGUGGGAUAAUUGGAGUGGCCAUGGGCACUUCUGGGAUCUGACCAAGGGGAAGCUGAGUGGGGGACUGAUUUGAGUUGGGUUCACUGGGAUAUGUUUAUGUGGUUUUCUGAAACAGAGGAUAUAUUAAUAUUUAUGUGGUUCUCUGUGUAUAGAUAAAUCAUUGCUAGUAAUCUCUGUGUAGAGAAUAGCUUCUAGGAAUUCUACCCACUGCCCAGCUCACUUGGCAUGGUGAUAUUAAGUUGCCAUAUGCAGAGGUCAUAUCGUGAUAUGAAUGUGUGUCAUGGCACCCAGCCCAGGAAGUAUAUGGGCAGUAGACAAGAAACAGGAGAAACCAGGUUUGAAAUGUACAGAGCCAGAAGCUAGUCUGUGGAAAAUUCUUCUAAUCAUCAGGGGGAGAAAAUGUGUCUCAGAGGUUAAGCAGGGCAGUUAAUAAAAGUAUUACGCAUUUUGGGGGGAUUGUGUGAUGUAUCUGUUUUGAUUUCUUUUCUCAUUAUAGGUAAAUAUAGGUACCUUGUACCUAAUUUUAUAUUCAUAAUUUUGUAUAUUUUUCUUAAAGAGGGCUCCUCAAAUUAUAAAACCUUCAGUUCCCACAAGGUCUACACAUCCAACCUUGGCUCCAUCAUUUAUUUUCUGUGUGAUCUUGGGGAAGUCACUUGUGCUUUCUGAGCCAGUUUCCUCUUCUAUAAAAU